This 950-nucleotide ribosomal RNA is filed under the name Flavonifractor sp. An9. RNAcentral describes it as "bacterial LSU rRNA". It matches the Rfam family "Bacterial large subunit ribosomal RNA", at positions 689 to 1702 of the family's 2925-position model. Lineage: Bacteria; Bacillati; Bacillota; Clostridia; Eubacteriales; Oscillospiraceae. The record is from RNAcentral.
AGCGCGUAUGAAGUCAGUGGCAAUAGACCCGAAACCGGGUGACCUAUCCAUGGGCAGGUUGAAGUGGGGGUAAAACCCCAUGGAGGACCGAACACACGCCCGUUGCAAUGGUCGGUGAUGACCUGUGGAUAGCGGUGAAAUUCCAAUCGAACUCGGAGAUAGCUGGUUCUCCCCGAAAUAGCUUUAGGGCUAGCGUUAACUUAGAUUACCGGAGGUAAAGCACUGAAUGGGCUAGGGGCCGAUAAGGUUACUGAACCCUAUCAAACUCUGAAUGCCGGAUAAUUGAUGGUUAGCAGUCAGUCUACGUGAGAUAAGUCUCGUGGACAAAAGGGAAACAGCCCAGACCCACAGCUAAGGUCCCAAAGAUACGCUAAGUGGAAAACGAUGUGGAGUUGCGAAAACAACCAGGAUGUUGGCUUAGAAGCAGCCACUCAUUAAAAGAGUGCGUAAUAGCUCACUGGUCGAGUGACUCUGCGCGGAAAAUAUAACGGGGCUAAGCGUAACACCGAAGCUUGGGCUGCGCAGCAAUGCGCGGGGUAGGGGAGCGUCGUGUACGGGGUGAAGUCGUAGCGGAAGCAGCGGUGGACUUUACACGAGUGAGAAUGCCGGAAUGAGUAGCGAGAAUUAUGUGGGAAUCAUAAUGGCCGAAAAUCUAAGGUUUCCUGGGGAAGGUUCGUCCGCCCAGGGUAAGCCGGGAGCUAAGGCGAGGCCGAAAGGCGUAGUCGAUGCACAUACGGUUGAAAUUCCGUAGCCACCGAACCUUAAGCACACUGACACAUGGAGAUAGCGGGACCCGGGCGUUGGUUGACCCGGGCGUAAGGGACCGAAAUUAAGUAGGGAAGUCCGCGAUGCUCUGUGGCGAGAAAAGGUGUGUGGUAUGCUAAGGUGCCCGUACCGCAAACCGACACAGGUAGAUGAGGAGAGAAUCCUAAGGCCAACGGGAGAAGGGU